CAGAUCUAGCUUGCUAGAUGCUGACGAGCGGCGGACGGGUGAGUAAUGCAUAGGAAACUGCCCAGUAGUGGGGGAUAGCCCGGGGAAACCCGGAUUAAUACCGCGUACGCCCUCCGGGGGAAAGCAGGGGAUCUUUUGACCUUGCGCUAUUGGAUGUGCCUAUGCCGGAUUAGCUAGUUGGUGGGGUAAGAGCCUACCAAGGCGACGAUCCGUAGCUGGUCUGAGAGGAUGAUCAGCCACAUCGGGACUGAGACACGGCCCGAACUCCUACGGGAGGCAGCAGUGGGGAAUAUUGGACAAUGGGGGCAACCCUGAUCCAGCCACGCCGCGUGUGUGAAGAAGGCUUUCGGGUUGUAAAGCACUUUCAGUGAGGAGGAAAAUUUGUCGGUUAAUACCCGGCAACCUUGACGUUACUCACAGAAGAAGCACCGGCUAACUCCGUGCCAGCAGCCGCGGUAAUACGGAGGGUGCAAGCGUUAAUCGGAAUUACUGGGCGUAAAGCGCGCGUAGGUGGUUUGAUAAGCGAGAUGUGAAAGCCCCGGGCUUAACCUGGGAACGGCAUUUCGAACUGUCAGGCUAGAGUAAGGUAGAGGAGUGUGGAAUUUCCUGUGUAGCGGUGAAAUGCGUAGAUAUAGGAAGGAACACCAGUGGCGAAGGCGGCACUCUGGACCAAUACUGACACUGAGGUGCGAAAGCGUGGGGAGCAGACAGGAUUAGAUACCCUGGUAGUCCACGCUGUAAACGAUGUCUACUAGCCGUUGGGACUCUUGAAGUCUUAGUGGCGCAGCUAACGCACUAAGUAGACCGCCUGGGGAGUACGGCCGCAAGGUUAAAACUCAAAUGAGUUGACGGGGGCCCGCACAAGCGGUGGAGCAUGUGGUUUAAUUCGACGCAACGCGAAGAACCUUACCUGGGCCUUGACAUGCAGAGAACUUUCCAGAGAUGGAUUGGUGCCUUCAGGAACUCUGACACAGUGCUGCAUGGCCGUCGUCAGCUCGUGUCGUGAGAUGU
Molecule: ribosomal RNA, 1011 nt
Filed under: uncultured bacterium
Lineage: Bacteria
Description: bacterial SSU rRNA
Rfam family: Bacterial small subunit ribosomal RNA
Source: RNAcentral